GAUGAACGCUGGCGGCGUGCCUAAUACAUGCAAGUCGAGCGAACGGACGAGAAGCUUGCUUUUCUGAUGUUAGCGGCGGACGGGUGAGUAACACGUGGAUAACCUACCUAUAAGACUGGGAUAACUUCGGGAAACCGGAGCUAAUACCGGAUAAUAUUUUGAACCGCAUGGUUCAAAAGUGAAAGACGGUCUUGCUGUCACUUAUAGAUGGAUCCGCGCUGCAUUAGCUAGUUGGUAAGGUAACGGCUUACCAAGGCAUCGAUGCAUAGCCGACCUGAGAGGGGGAUCGGCCACACUGGAACUGAGACACGGUCCAGACUCCUACGGGAGGCAGCAGUAGGGAAUCUUCCGCAAUGGGCGAAAGCCUGACGGAGCAACGCCGCGUGAGUGAUGAAGGUCUUCGGAUCGUAAAACUCUGAUAUUAGGGAAGAACAUAUGUGUAAGUAACUGUGCACAUCUUGACGGUACCUAAUCAGAAAGCCACGGCUAACUACGUG
This 497-nucleotide ribosomal RNA is filed under the name uncultured bacterium. RNAcentral describes it as "partial 16S ribosomal RNA". It matches the Rfam family "Bacterial small subunit ribosomal RNA", at positions 28 to 507 of the family's 1533-position model. The record is from RNAcentral.